GCCGGAGUGGCGGAACUGGUAGACGCGGGGGACUUAAAAUCCCCGGCCCUUCGGGGCGUGCGGGUUCGAGUCCCGCCUCCGGCA
RNAcentral lists this transfer RNA (84 nucleotides) under Thermoleophilia bacterium. RNAcentral describes it as "tRNA-Leu". It matches the Rfam family "tRNA". Rfam says of the family: Transfer RNA (tRNA) molecules are approximately 80 nucleotides in length. Their secondary structure includes four short double-helical elements and three loops (D, anti-codon, and T loops). Further hydrogen bonds mediate the characteristic L-shaped molecular structure. tRNAs have two regions of fundamental functional importance: the anti-codon, which is responsible for specific mRNA codon recognition, and the 3' end, to which the tRNAs corresponding amino acid is attached (by aminoacyl-tRNA synthetases). tRNAs cope with the degeneracy of the genetic code in two manners: having more than one tRNA (with a specific anti-codon) for a particular amino acid; and 'wobble' base-pairing, i.e. permitting non-standard base-pairing at the 3rd anti-codon position. Lineage: Bacteria; Bacillati; Actinomycetota; Thermoleophilia. RNAcentral also lists the same sequence under 2 other names. The record is from RNAcentral.